Molecule: ribosomal RNA, 515 nt
Filed under: uncultured bacterium
Lineage: Bacteria
Description: bacterial SSU rRNA
Rfam family: Bacterial small subunit ribosomal RNA
Source: RNAcentral
GAGUUUGAUCCUGGCUCAGGAUGAACGCUGGCGGCGUGCCUAACACAUGCAAGUCGAACGAAGCACCUUUUAAGAUUCUUCGGAUGAUUGAUCGGUGACUGAGUGGCGGACGGGUGAGUAACGCGUGGGUAACCUGCCCUGUACAGGGGGAUAACAGUUGGAAACGGCUGCUAAUACCGCAUAAGCGCACGAGAGGACAUCCUCUUGUGUGAAAAACUCCGGUGGUACAGGAUGGGCCCGCGUCUGAUUAGCUGGUUGGCAGGGUAACGGCCUACCAAGGCGACGAUCAGUAGCCGGUCUGAGAGGAUGAACGGCCACAUUGGAACUGAGACACGGUCCAAACUCCUACGGGAGGCAGCAGUGGGGAAUAUUGCACAAUGGGGGAAACCCUGAUGCAGCAACGCCGCGUGAGUGAAGAAGUAUUUCGGUAUGUAAAGCUCUAUCAGCAGGGAAGAUAAUGACGGUACCUGACUAAGAAGCUCCGGCUAAAUACGUGCCAGCAGCCGCGGUAAUUC